GCUGGAGGUCGUGUUAUUGAUAAGUAUCGUGCUUCUUUAGCUCCUGCAACAGUAGAAAUGCUGAUGUGUGGUGGAGAUUGGUGUCGAAAACGACAUGGAGUGACUAAAAAGACUAAGGUUGAAAAACAACUUUUGACAAUUGAUUUGCCCAUAGAUUAAAUGAAUCAUUUUAGGUUGAAAUUUGAAAAAUCAGUCAUGCCACUAAGAUUGAAGAGGUGGAAGUAUCAAACUUUUUAUUUUAUGAAGCUUUUGUAUAUCUUGCUGGAUUGAAAUUGUUGGUAGCUGAACUGGGAAGGGAUAGAAGUACGAACUGUCAG
This is a long non-coding RNA of Zingiber officinale, 317 nucleotides long. RefSeq lists it as uncharacterized. The transcript is spliced from 3 exons. NCBI's taxonomy places the organism in Eukaryota, Viridiplantae, Streptophyta, Magnoliopsida, Zingiberales, Zingiberaceae. The record is from RefSeq and is a predicted model, not a curated record.